CCUACGGGAGGCAGCAGUGAGGAAUAUUGGUCAAUGGGCGGGAGCCUGAACCAGCCAAGUAGCGUGAAGGAUGACAGCCCUAUGGGUUGUAAACUUCUUUUAUAAGGGAAUAAAGUGCAGGAUGUAUGCGGCUUUGCAUGUACCUUAUGAAUAAGCAUCGGCUAACUCGGUGCCAGCAGCCGCGGUAAUACGGAGGAUCCGAGCGUUAUCCGGAUUUAUUGGGUUUAAGGGGAGCGUGGGGGGGUUUUUAAGUCAGAGGUAAAAUUUUGCGGCUCAACCGUAAAUUGCAGUUGAAUCUGGGAUCCUUGAGUACAGUAGAGGUAGGCGGAAUUCGUGGUGUAGCGGUGAAAUGCUUAGAUAUCACGAAGAACUCCGAUUGCGAAGGCAGCCUGCUGGACUGUAACUGACGCUGAGGCUCGAAAGUGUGGGUAUCAAACAGGAUUAGAUACCCUUGUAGUC
RNAcentral lists this ribosomal RNA (459 nucleotides) under uncultured bacterium. RNAcentral describes it as "partial 16S ribosomal RNA". It matches the Rfam family "Bacterial small subunit ribosomal RNA", at positions 338 to 795 of the family's 1533-position model. The record is from RNAcentral.